RNAcentral lists this non-coding RNA (85 nucleotides) under Aspergillus niger CBS 513.88. The record is from RNAcentral. Lineage: Eukaryota; Fungi; Ascomycota; Eurotiomycetes; Eurotiales; Aspergillaceae.
CUCCAGCAACGAGCUCGCACCUCAUCGUGGUGCUGGAGUCUAGUAGCCUGUCCCCUUUCUGGGGUGGGUGAAGCUAAGUCGAGCU